CUGACUUAUGGAAAUGUGUUUUUUAUUUUGGUUAUUGUUAAGUUUGUAAAAGGAAAGGUCACAUCAGAGAGAGGAACCAAGCAGGCAGACGGAAAGAAAUGUUUUUAAUUUUGGUUAUUGUUAAGUUUGUAAAAGGAAAGGUCACAUCAGAGAGAGGAACCAAGCAGGCAGACUUAUUUUCCUGUUUGUUAAAGGAAAGGUCACAUCAGAGAGAGGAACCAAGCAGGCAGACGGAAAAUCAUCAUGUGUUUUAAUAUUGGUUAUUGUGGUUUGUAAAAGGAAAGGUCACAUCAGAGAGAGGAACCAAGCAGAUAGUCAAUAUGUGUGAUUUUGUUGUUAUCCAAGGCAAGGUAACUUUUUUUAAUUUCUUGAUAAGUUUGUGAAAAGGAAAAGUCACAUCAGAGAGGAACCAAACAGUCCAUGUGUAGGAUUUUGUUGUUUCUCUCCUGGCAACUUUUGUUUCCUAGUUAUGUUAAAACGUUUUUGUAGUUUCUCUUUCCCUAUUCUCAUUCAGGUUUUAAUUCUUUUUCCUGGUCUUUUCUCUCCCUCCUCCUCCUCACUCUUUUAAUCCUUGAUAUUCCUGUUCUUCCUCCUCCUGUAUUCCUUCUGUUCUUCCUCCUCCUGUAUUCCUUCUGUUCUUCCUCCUCCUGUAUUCCUCCAUUCCCUGUAACUUAUUUUUCAUUAACCUUUUCCUUCUCUGUUCUUCCUCCUCAUCUUUCUACAUUUUUAACUUCUAUCUUUCCUCCUCUUUAUUCUACCUCUCUCCAAUUUUAAAACUUCCUCCUCCUCCUCCUCCUCCCUGGUCGUGUGUGUGAGUGUGUGUCUUGGCCCGGCCGUCACCACUAAACAUGUGAUAACCUCUACUAUAUAAUAUCUUUUUUAUAAUAAACUAUACUUAUGUACACCCAA
Molecule: long non-coding RNA, 909 nt
Organism: Eriocheir sinensis (Chinese mitten crab)
Lineage: Eukaryota; Metazoa; Arthropoda; Malacostraca; Decapoda; Varunidae
Exons: 2
Source: RefSeq, a predicted model, not a curated record